GAUGAAGAACGUAGCGAAAUGCGAUAAGUAAUGUGAAUUGCAGAAUUCAGUGAAUCAUCGAAUCUUUGAACGCACAUUGCGCCCGGUAGUAUUCUGGCGGGCAUGCCUGUUCGAGCGUCAUUUCAACCAUCAAGCCCCAGGCUUGUGUUGGGGACCUGCGGCUGCCGCAGGCCCUGAAAACCAGUGGCGGGCUCGCUGUCACACCGGGCGUAGUAGAUUUUAUCUCGCUCUGGGCGUGCUGCGGGUUCCGGCCGUUAAAAAACCCUUUUAACCCAAGGUUGACCUCGGAUCAGGUAGGAAUACCCGCUGAACUUAAGCAUAUCAAUAAGCGGAGGA
This 336-nucleotide unclassified non-coding RNA is filed under the name soil metagenome. RNAcentral describes it as "partial contains 5.8S ribosomal RNA, internal transcribed spacer 2, and large subunit ribosomal RNA". The stretch from base 1 to 120 matches the Rfam family "5.8S ribosomal RNA", at positions 35 to 154 of the family's 154-position model. The record is from RNAcentral.